AAAUUGAAGAGUUUGAUCAUGGCUCAGAUUGAACGCUGGCGGCAGGCCUAACACAUGCAAGUCGAGCGGCAGCGGGAAAGUAGCUUGCUACUUUUG
RNAcentral lists this ribosomal RNA (96 nucleotides) under Aeromonas salmonicida. RNAcentral's name for it is "partial 16S ribosomal RNA". It matches the Rfam family "Bacterial small subunit ribosomal RNA", at positions 1 to 91 of the family's 1533-position model. Lineage: Bacteria; Pseudomonadati; Pseudomonadota; Gammaproteobacteria; Aeromonadales; Aeromonadaceae. The record is from RNAcentral. RNAcentral also lists the same sequence under 5 other names.